Magnolia sinica is the source of this 107-nucleotide small nucleolar RNA. The record is from RefSeq and is a predicted model, not a curated record. NCBI's taxonomy places the organism in Eukaryota, Viridiplantae, Streptophyta, Magnoliopsida, Magnoliales, Magnoliaceae.
UAUCCAUGAUGUGGACAAGCAUUGAGAAUAUCCAUGAAUCUCUCUUAGCAUUGAAAGAAGGUUUCUUCCACUUUCUAUGAAAAAUUCAUGAUAGCUCUUCUUAGAAU